CAGCCGCCGCGGUAAUACGUAGGUGGCAAGCGUUGUCCGGAAUUAUUGGGCGUAAAGCGCGCGCAGGCGGAUAGGUCAGUCUGUCUUAAAAGUUCGGGGCUUAACCCCGUGAUGAGAUGGAAACUGCCAAUCUAGAGUAUCGGAGAGGAAAGUGGAAUUCCUAGUGUAGCGGUGAAAUGCGUAGAUAUUAGGAAGAACACCAGUGGCGAAAGCGGCUCUCUGGCUUGUAACUGACGCUGAGGCUCGAAAGCGUGGGGAGCAAACAGGAUUAGAUACCCCAGUAGUCCCUGUCUCUUAUACA
RNAcentral lists this ribosomal RNA (301 nucleotides) under uncultured bacterium. RNAcentral describes it as "partial 16S ribosomal RNA". It matches the Rfam family "Bacterial small subunit ribosomal RNA", at positions 509 to 808 of the family's 1533-position model. The record is from RNAcentral.